This 433-nucleotide ribosomal RNA is filed under the name uncultured bacterium. RNAcentral describes it as "partial 16S ribosomal RNA". It matches the Rfam family "Bacterial small subunit ribosomal RNA", at positions 29 to 507 of the family's 1533-position model. The record is from RNAcentral.
AACGAACGCUGGCGGCAUGCCUAACACAUGCAGGUCGAACGAGACCUUCGGGUCUAGUGGCGCACGGGUGCGUAACGCGUGGGAACCUGCCCUUAGGUUCAGAAUAACUCCCCGAAAGGGGUGUUAAUACCGGAUAAUGUCUUCGGACCAAAGAUUUAUCGCCUUUGGAUGGGCCCGCGUUGGAUUAGCUAGUUGGUAGGGUAAAAGCCUACCAAGGCGACGAUCCAUAGCUGGUCUGAGAGGAUGAUCAGCCACACUGGGACUGAGACACGGCCCAGACUCCUACGGGAGGCAGCAGUGGGGAAUAUUGGACAAUGGGCGAAAGCCUGAUCCAGCAAUGCCGCGUGAGUGAUGAAGGCCUUAGGGUUGUAAAGCUCUUUUACCCGGGAUGAUAAUGACAGUACCGGGAGAAUAAGCUCCGGCUAACUCCGUG